GAUGAAGAACGUGGCGAAAUGCGAUACUUGGUGUGAAUUGCAGAAUCCCGUGAACCAUCGAGUCUUUGAACGCAAGUUGCGCCCGAAGCCACUAGGCCGAGGGCACGCCUGCCUGGGCGUCACACGCCGUUGCCCCCCCAUCUACUCCUUCGGGAUUGCGGGGGGGCGGAUGAUGGCCUCCCGUGCGCCUAGCCGCGCGGUUGGCAUAAAUACCAAGUCCUCGGCGACGCACGCCACGACAAUCGGUGGUUGCGAAACCUCGGUUGCCCGUCGUGUGCGUUCGUCGCGCAUCGAGGGCUCGAAAAAAUGCUCGGCUCCGGCUGGGCUUUCAACGCGACCCCAGGUCAGGCGGGGUUACCCGCUGAAUUUAAGCAUAUCAAUAAGCGGAGGA
This 391-nucleotide unclassified non-coding RNA is filed under the name soil metagenome. RNAcentral's name for it is "partial contains 5.8S ribosomal RNA, internal transcribed spacer 2, and large subunit ribosomal RNA". The stretch from base 1 to 122 matches the Rfam family "5.8S ribosomal RNA", at positions 35 to 154 of the family's 154-position model. The record is from RNAcentral.